This 549-nucleotide ribosomal RNA is filed under the name Pseudomonas aeruginosa. RNAcentral describes it as "bacterial SSU rRNA". It matches the Rfam family "Bacterial small subunit ribosomal RNA", at positions 86 to 631 of the family's 1533-position model. The record is from RNAcentral. Lineage: Bacteria; Pseudomonadati; Pseudomonadota; Gammaproteobacteria; Pseudomonadales; Pseudomonadaceae.
CUGGAUUCAGCGGCGGACGGGUGAGUAAUGCCUAGGAAUCUGCCUGGUAGUGGGGGAUAACGUCCGGAAACGGGCGCUAAUACCGCAUACGUCCUGAGGGAGAAAGUGGGGGAUCUUCGGACCUCACGCUAUCAGAUGAGCCUAGGUCGGAUUAGCUAGUUGGUGGGGUAAAGGCCUACCAAGGCGACGAUCCGUAACUGGUCUGAGAGGAUGAUCAGUCACACUGGAACUGAGACACGGUCCAGACUCCUACGGGAGGCAGCAGUGGGGAAUAUUGGACAAUGGGCGAAAGCCUGAUCCAGCCAUGCCGCGUGUGUGAAGAAGGUCUUCGGAUUGUAAAGCACUUUAAGUUGGGAGGAAGGGCAGUAAGUUAAUACCUUGCUGUUUUGACGUUACCAACAGAAUAAGCACCGGCUAACUUCGUGCCAGCAGCCGCGGUAAUACGAAGGGUGCAAGCGUUAAUCGGAAUUACUGGGCGUAAAGCGCGCGUAGGUGGUUCAGCAAGUUGGAUGUGAAAUCCCCGGGCUCAACCUGGGAACUGCAUCCAAA